CGAACGGGUGAGUAACACGUGGGCAAUCUGCCCUGCACUCUGGGACAAGCCCUGGAAACGGGGUCUAAUACCGGAUACUGAUCGCCUUGGGCAUCCUUGGUGAUCGAAAGCUCCGGCGGUGCAGGAUGAGCCCGCGGCCUAUCAGCUUGUUGGUGAGGUAAUGGCUCACCAAGGCGACGACGGGUAGCCGGCCUGAGAGGGCGACCGGCCACACUGGGACUGAGACACGGCCCAGACUCCUACGGGAGGCAGCAGUGGGGAAUAUUGCACAAUGGGCGAAAGCCUGAUGCAGCGACGCCGCGUGAGGGAUGACGGCCUUCGGGUUGUAAACCUCUUUCAGCAGGGAAGAAGCGAAAGUGACGGUACCUGCAGAAGAAGCGCCGGCUAACUACGUGCCAGCAGCCGCGGUAAUACGUAGGGCGCGAGCGUUGUCCGGAAUUAUUGGGCGUAAAGAGCUCGUAGGCGGCUUGUCGCGUCGGUUGUGAAAGCCCGGGGCUUAACCCCGGGUCUGCAGUCGAUACGGGCAGGCUAGAGUUCGGUAGGGGAGAUCGGAAUUCCUGGUGUAGCGGUGAAAUGCGCAGAUAUCAGGAGGAACACCGGUGGCGAAGGCGGAUCUCUGGGCCGAUACUGACGCUGAGGAGCGAAAGCGUGGGGAGCGAACAGGAUUAGAUACCCUGGUAGUCCACGCCGU
RNAcentral lists this ribosomal RNA (691 nucleotides) under Streptomyces cellulosae. RNAcentral describes it as "bacterial SSU rRNA". It matches the Rfam family "Bacterial small subunit ribosomal RNA", at positions 99 to 803 of the family's 1533-position model. Lineage: Bacteria; Bacillati; Actinomycetota; Actinomycetes; Kitasatosporales; Streptomycetaceae. The record is from RNAcentral.